GAUUGCAAUGCUGUUCUUAAAGCUCUACAGCCCAUUUUUCAGGAGCAGGGAAUGACAGAAACAGUUCAUAACUGGGAAGACCAUGGUUAUUUAGCAACCUACAUCAAAAAAAAUGGCAGUUUUGCCAAUUUGAGAAUUUACCCUCAUGGACUAGUGUUGGUGGAUCUGCAGAGCUACAACGAUCAUGUGAAAGGAAGAGAAGAGACCGAUCAGCUUCUAAACAAAGUAGAAGAAAGAAUGAAAGAAUUGUUUCAUGGUAAUAUAAAAAAGGUGAAGCG
Tinamus guttatus (white-throated tinamou) is the source of this 278-nucleotide non-coding RNA. The record is from RefSeq and is a predicted model, not a curated record. Lineage: Eukaryota; Metazoa; Chordata; Aves; Tinamiformes; Tinamidae.